GAUGAACGCUAGCUACAGGCUUAACACAUGCAAGUCGAGGGGCAGCACAGUGUAGCAAUACACGGGUGGCGACCGGCGCACGGGUGCGUAACGCGUAUCCAACCUUCCCGAUACUCUUGGAUAGCCUUCCGAAAGGGAGAUUAAUACAAGAUGGUGUUUCACUUUCGCAUGUUAUUGAAACUAAAGAUUUAUCGGUAUCGGAUGGGGAUGCGUGACAUUAGAUAGUAGGCGGGGUAACGGCCCACCUAGCCUUCGAUCAUUAGGGGUUCUGAGAGGAAGGUCCCCCACACUGGAACUGAGACACGGUCCAGACUCCUACGGGAGGCAGCAGUGAGGAAUAUUGGUCAAUGGACGAGAGUCUGAACCAGCCAAGUAGCGUGCAGGAUGACGGCCCUCUGGGGUUGUAAACUGCUUUUAGUUGGGAAUAAAAAGNGGGACGUGUCCCUAAUUGUAUGUACCAUCAGAAAAAGGACCGGCUAAUUCCGUG
Molecule: ribosomal RNA, 487 nt
Filed under: uncultured bacterium
Lineage: Bacteria
Description: bacterial SSU rRNA
Rfam family: Bacterial small subunit ribosomal RNA
Source: RNAcentral